Molecule: ribosomal RNA, 497 nt
Filed under: uncultured bacterium
Lineage: Bacteria
Description: partial 16S ribosomal RNA
Rfam family: Bacterial small subunit ribosomal RNA
Source: RNAcentral
GAUGAACGCUGGCGGCGUGCCUAAUACAUGCAAGUCGAGCGAACAGACGAGGAGCUUGCUCCUCUGACGUUAGCGGCGGACGGGUGAGUAACACGUGGAUAACCUACCUAUAAGACUGGGAUAACUUCGGGAAACCGGAGCUAAUACCGGAUAAUAUAUUGAACCGCAUGGUUCAAUAGUGAAAGACGGUUUUGCUGUCACUUAUAGAUGGAUCCGCGCCGCAUUAGCUAGUUGGUAAGGUAACGGCUUACCAAGGCAACGAUGCGUAGCCGACCUGAGAGGGUGAUCGGCCACACUGGAGCUGAGACACGGACCAGACUCCUACGGGAGGCAGCAGUAGGGAAUCUUCCGCAAUGGGCGAAAGCCUGACGGAGCAACGCCGCGUGAGUGAUGAAGGUCUUCGGAUCGUAAAACUCUGUUAUUAGGGAAGAACAAAUGUGUAAGUAACUAUGCACGGCUUGACGGUACCUAAUCAGAAAGCCACGGCUAACUACGUG